RNAcentral lists this long non-coding RNA (1874 nucleotides) under Calidris pugnax (ruff). RNAcentral's name for it is "lncRNA (ENSCPUG00000011349.1)". Lineage: Eukaryota; Metazoa; Chordata; Aves; Charadriiformes; Scolopacidae. The record is from RNAcentral.
GCGGGCUACAUCGCUCUUUAAAUCUCUUCGGGGUGCAGACCAGGCACACCGCUGGCGCGACUCCUUUGACUAUCCCUUUGCAAACCCAGCCGUGCUCCAGCACUCCUCAGCAGCCAUACCUUUGUAAGGUUUACUGGUCCUGCCUCCCAGCAGGCCGCCUAGUCCUUGUUUUUUUGGGUUGAUUUUUUUUUUGUUUGUUUGUUUUCCUUACCCAUCCCAUUCGGUAUACCGCAUCCUUCUCCCCUGGCUCCAUCCCGAGCCCGGCAGGGUCCAUCCCCGCCAGCACCAAACCUCCGGUUGCCACAGGGACCACCACCACCUCUCCUCCCCCGGCUCCAAGAGCAGGCUGGAAAAGGGAAAGUCUGGUCAGCGGUGAGGGGCCAGGGGCCAAAACCCCUUCCCCUUAACGCACACCAUCCAGAAGGACCCCCAAACACCGGCGUCCCACCAGGACAUCCCACAAGCAGAGCAAAGACACCCAAAAGCACAGGGGACGUGCUGGUUGAGAGAAGGAAGAGCUGCUGAGCCACCCUCUCCCUGCUGCAAGGAAAGGAAAAAAAAAAAAUUAAAAAAGAAAGAAAAAAGAGCCUUGCUCUCCCCAUCCCCCACCCGAUCCAUUAAGAGCCGCUGAUGAUAUUUUCUGCUCCUUCCCAGAGGGAAGCAAAGUGUUACAGCGAGAGGAAGAGUCGGUCCAGCCUUCUUACACAACUCAUUAUCACUACAGCCUUUUGUCAGAGUGGAAAGCAGGCCACCAAGUCUAACGUCUCCACGGACUGGGAAACAGAUGUUUGAAAUGGGAUCUAGGAAACAAUAUACCCUAGCAGUGCUUUUUUUGUUGUUGUUUUAAAGCUUCAUUAAGUCUCUAGUUGUUGUAUUAUAUAUAUAUAUUUAUAUAUAAAGCUGUGCUUUAUACAAAGCACUCCAAGUAAGGACCAACCCAUUCAGAUGCGAGCCUGCAGAGAGGCUUUUCUACUGCCCACAAGCCAGCAGGACCGUCCACAUCCACUCCUAUAAAGACGCUUUGAAUGCCAGUGUUUUGCUAACUAUUUUAAUUGACAUGUGGGAAAGGAGGGGCAGCAGCACAGAGCUGCACAGCUUACCAUUCCUGCUGCAGUUCAGUGCCACUGGGUAGGUACCCACUCACCAAUUUGUACCUCCAUCCUCUUCUCUCCUCCCCCUACUGCCUUGCAGGGGAAAAGGAACACAGUUUGGGAAUCUUAGCCAAGCUCACAGGCAUUGCAGAUGCAACAAGGUGAAACCAUCAACACAUACACCUGAAUUUUCAACAUCUGCCUGACCAGCUCUCAGUGACAGCUAAUUUUAGCAAUCCACGUGAGUUCUUUGCUGGGUGUAACCACACCAUCUCCUCAAUCUGACAGUUUGCUGAAAAGACUGCUUUUCUAGAGGGCUGGAUAUCAAGGCUUCUGCCAUUCCAAGGACCUGCCCUGCUAAAAGAAGAGGUAACACAAACUACUUUUAUAAGAUAAAAAAAUAGACAGCUUGAGAAGUAAAAAACCUAUUGCUCUCCAACCACUGUACACAGCAAAAGAGUAGAAGGUGCUGGAACUUGAUGAUAAAGCCUCACACAAGCUGAAUAUAUUUCUUGGGAAGAUGGUAAUAAGCUGGAAGUUGAACAAAAUGCAGAGAGAUAAAUUAGUAACUCAGAGGAAAGCAACAAGUAAGGAGGGCUGAGGCUUGGUUAGAAUAAGUAGGUUAAUAGGGGCACCCAAACACUAACACACACAAUCACAGCCCCACUAAAAAACAUUCUAAAGGCCAGGAAAAGAAUUAACAAUUGUUCAUUUUCACAGCCACAACCAUAGAUGCUUAUGGUCUUUUUCAACACUAAUAAAUAUCCUAAGCAGCCAGUAGCA